RNAcentral lists this transfer RNA (93 nucleotides) under Trametes versicolor. Its description in RNAcentral is "tRNA-Ser". It matches the Rfam family "tRNA". Rfam says of the family: Transfer RNA (tRNA) molecules are approximately 80 nucleotides in length. RNAcentral also lists the same sequence under 1 other name. Lineage: Eukaryota; Fungi; Basidiomycota; Agaricomycetes; Polyporales; Polyporaceae. The record is from RNAcentral.
GACACUAUGGCCGAGUGGUUAAGGCGACAGAUUCGAAUUAUUCGUACCAUCUGUUUCGGUCUCCGAGCGCAGGUUCAAGUCCUGCUGGUGUCG